ACUCAGAAUGGUUACUGGACAAGAGUUGGAAAGCUCCAAGGGUUGGGCUGUUCGCCCAUUAAAGCGGUAGGUGAGCUGGGUUCAGAACGUCGUGAGACAGUUCGGUCCAUAUCUGGUGUGGGCGUUAGAGCAUUGAGAGGACCUUUCUCUAGUACGAGAGGACCGGGAAGACGCACCUCUGGUGUACCAGUUAUCGUGCCCACGGUAAACGCUGGGUAGCCAAGUGCGGAGCGGAUAACUGCUGAAAGCAUCUAAGUAGUAAGUCUACCCCAAGAUGAGUGCUCUCCUAUUCCGACUUCCCCAGA
RNAcentral lists this long non-coding RNA (305 nucleotides) under Olea europaea subsp. europaea. It matches the Rfam family "Bacterial large subunit ribosomal RNA", at positions 2557 to 2925 of the family's 2925-position model. Lineage: Eukaryota; Viridiplantae; Streptophyta; Magnoliopsida; Lamiales; Oleaceae. The record is from RNAcentral.